AGUGGAAUAAUUUGGGUCAAAUGGUAAUUCCAUUCCAAGUUUUUAAGAAAUCUCAGUAUUACUUUCCAAAUUGGCUGCACCAAUUUGCAAUCCCAUCAGAAU
This 102-nucleotide microRNA precursor is filed under the name Marmota monax (woodchuck). Lineage: Eukaryota; Metazoa; Chordata; Mammalia; Rodentia; Sciuridae. The record is from RNAcentral.